UGGGGGGAUAUUGCACAAUGGAGGAAACUCUGAUGCAGCGACGCCGCGUGAGUGAAGAAGUAUUUCGGUAUGUAAAGCUCUAUCAGCAGGGAAGAAAGACCUCGAAAGAGGGGAUGACGGUACCUGAGUAAGAAGCCCCGGCUAACUACGUGCCAGCAGCCGCGGUAAUACGUAGGGGGGCAAGCGUUAUCCGGAUUUACUGGGUGUAAAGGGAGCGCAGGCGGCGAAGCAAGCCAGAGGUGAAAACCCGGGGCUCAACCCCGAGGAUUGCCUUUGGAACUGUUUUGCUUGAGUACUGGAGGGGCAGGCGGAAUUCCUGGUGUAGCGGUGAAAUGCGUAGAUAUCAGGAGGAACACCGGUGGCGAAGGCGGCCUGCUGGACAGUAACUGACGC
This 393-nucleotide ribosomal RNA is filed under the name uncultured Butyrivibrio sp. RNAcentral describes it as "bacterial SSU rRNA". It matches the Rfam family "Bacterial small subunit ribosomal RNA", at positions 354 to 746 of the family's 1533-position model. Lineage: Bacteria; Bacillati; Bacillota; Clostridia; Lachnospirales; Lachnospiraceae. The record is from RNAcentral.